GAGUCGGACCUGCCCGGUGAAUAAUUUUUAACGGCCGCGGUACUCUGACCGUGCAAAGGUAGCAUAAUCAUUUGCCCUAUAAUUGAGGGCUAGUAUGAAUGGUUUGACGUGAACAGAACUGUCUCUAUAUAAUUUUUUAGAAUUUGAUUUUUAGGUGAAGAAACCUAAAUAUUAUUGAUAGACAAGAAGACCCUAUUGAGCUUUAAAAGAAUGUAUUGAGAAUAAUAUAUAACUUUAAAUAUUAAUCUAUUCAAAAUUUUGGUUGGGGCGACUAUGGAACAAGUAAAGCUUCUUUAUUACUAUAAAACUUUCAGGUUAUGAUCCAGAAAUUCUGAUUAAUGAAAUUAGUUACCAUAGGGAUAACAGCAUAAUUCUCUUUGAGAGUUCUUAUCGAAAAGAGAGUUUGUGACCUCGAUGUUGGACUAGAAUGUCCUGAAGAUGCAGCAGUCUUCUAGGGUUNGUC
RNAcentral lists this ribosomal RNA (463 nucleotides) under Macrocypraea cervinetta. RNAcentral describes it as "partial 16S large subunit ribosomal RNA". It matches the Rfam family "Bacterial large subunit ribosomal RNA", at positions 1850 to 2577 of the family's 2925-position model. Lineage: Eukaryota; Metazoa; Mollusca; Gastropoda; Littorinimorpha; Cypraeidae. The record is from RNAcentral.